AGUGAACGCUGGCGGUAGGCCUAACACAUGCAAGUCGAACGGCAGCACGGAGGAGCUUGCUCCUUGGGUGGCGAGUGGCGGACGGGUGAGGAAUACAUCGGAAUCUACUCUGUCGUGGGGGAUAACGUAGGGAAACUUACGCUAAUACCGCAUACGACCUACGGGUGAAAGCAGGGGGCCUUCGGGCCUUGCGCGAUUGAAUGAGCCGAUGUCGGAGUAGCUAGUUGGCGGGGUAAAGGCCCACCAAGGCGACGAUCCGUAGCUGGUCUGAGAGGAUGAUCAGCCACACUGGAACUGAGGCACGGUCCAGACUCCUACGGGAGGCAGCAGUGGGGAAUAUUGGACAAUGGGCGCAAGCCUGAUCCAGCCAUACCGCGUGGGUGAAGAAGGCCUUCGGGUUGUAAAGCCCUUUUGUUGGGAAAGAAAUCCAGCUGGCUAAUACCCGGUUGGGAUGACGGUACCCAAAGAAUAAGCACCGGCUAACUUCGUGCCAGCCGCCGCCGUAA
RNAcentral lists this ribosomal RNA (506 nucleotides) under uncultured bacterium. Its description in RNAcentral is "partial 16S ribosomal RNA". It matches the Rfam family "Bacterial small subunit ribosomal RNA", at positions 29 to 523 of the family's 1533-position model. The record is from RNAcentral.